AGAGUUUGAUCAUGGCUCAGAUUGAACGCUGGCGGCAUGCUUAAUACAUGCAAGUCGAGCGGUAACAGAUUCUUCGGAAUGCUGACGAGUGGCGGACGGGUGAGUAAUACAUAGGAAUCUGCCCAUGUAGUGGGGGACAACUUGGGGAAACUCAAGCUAAUACCGCAUAAUUCCUACGGGAUAAAGAGGGCCACUGCUUGCAAGCUCUUGCUACUGGAUGAGCCUAUGUCGGAUUAGUUAGUUGGUAAGGUAAUGGCUUACCAAGACAGCGAUCCGUAGCUGGUUUGAGAGGAUGAUCAGCCACACUGGGACUGAGACACGGCCCAGACUCCUACGGGAGGCAGCAGUAGGGAGUAUUGGACAAUGGGCGCAAGCCUGAUCCAGCAAUGCCGCGUGUGUGAAGAAGGCCUGCGGGUUGUAAAGCACUUUCAAUUGGGAAGAAAGAUUAUGAGUUAAUACCUUAUAAUAUUGACG
Molecule: ribosomal RNA, 474 nt
Filed under: uncultured bacterium
Lineage: Bacteria
Description: bacterial SSU rRNA
Rfam family: Bacterial small subunit ribosomal RNA
Source: RNAcentral